GUCAUUGUACUGCCAGACUCUUCUUCCGUGCCUCUCGCAAAACUUGCUCCUUUCUUCUGACCUUUACACUAGUUCUUUAUUUCAGGUUUGAUUCCCAGAUGAGAGAAAAAUGCAAAGCCUUCUCUGUCUCAAUGCUUCCAUCUUCAGAAAGAACCAUGUAUUUUACAUCAGCUCAGAAACUCUCAAGGAAGAAGUAUUUUCAAGGAAUGACUGGAAUUACAAUGUGAUGGGUCAUGGUACCCAAUAAGACUUGGACAGUAGCUAGUUCUUGUAGCCAAAGCUGAUAAAUGCUGUCCACUGAGUGGUUACUCAACAAUAUAGGACUUUCUGUUCAGAGGGAAAACUGUGUAUUGUGGUCAGAGGGUUGUGACAACCUCUACUCAUCAGUGACAAAAAGGAACACUCAAAGCAUUGUAAACUCAGAUUAAAAAGUAUAUGAUUUGAGCAUUA
This is a long non-coding RNA of Galeopterus variegatus (Sunda flying lemur), 450 nucleotides long. RefSeq lists it as uncharacterized. The transcript is spliced from 2 exons. The record is from RefSeq and is a predicted model, not a curated record. Lineage: Eukaryota; Metazoa; Chordata; Mammalia; Dermoptera; Cynocephalidae.